GUGGGGAAUUUUGGACAAUGGGCGCAAGCCUGAUCCAGCAAUGCCGCGUGCAGGAAGAAGGCCUUCGGGUUGUAAACUGCUUUUGUACGGAACGAAACGGUCCUGGCUAAUACCUGGGGCUAAUGACGGUACCGUAAGAAUAAGCACCGGCUAACUACGUGCCAGCAGCCGCGGUAAUACGUAGGGUGCGAGCGUUAAUCGGAAUUACUGGGCGUAAAGCGUGCGCAGGCGGUGCUGUAAGACAGGCGUGAAAUCCCCGGGCUCAACCUGGGAAUUGCGCUUGUGACUGCAGUGCUGGAGUGCGGCAGAGGGGGAUGGAAUUCCGCGUGUAGCAGUGAAAUGCGUAGAUAUGCGGAGGAACACCGAUGGCGAAGGCAAUCCCCUGGGCCUGCACUGACGCUCAUGCACGAAAGCGUGGGGAGCAAACAGGAUUAGAAACCCGUGUAGUCC
Molecule: ribosomal RNA, 450 nt
Filed under: uncultured bacterium
Lineage: Bacteria
Description: partial 16S ribosomal RNA
Rfam family: Bacterial small subunit ribosomal RNA
Source: RNAcentral